This is a long non-coding RNA of Stegastes partitus (bicolor damselfish), 562 nucleotides long. RefSeq lists it as uncharacterized. The record is from RefSeq and is a predicted model, not a curated record. Lineage: Eukaryota; Metazoa; Chordata; Actinopteri; Pomacentridae. The transcript has 2 exons.
UUGUUAUUAAGUUUUUUCUUUUUCACAACCAAACAUACACACUCCAUAUGAAACCAAGAGGAUGAUUUAGCAUUCUGUAAAUAAAACAAAACACAGAACAAAGAUAGUGGGAGAGCAUCAUAUCAUACAACCAGUUUAUACAUUUACCUACAUAAGUGUCCAUAUAGACUUUGUGGGUGUAUGGAUGAGGAGAUUUUAGCCAUUUCAUCGAACCAUUCCUUUACUGGGACUUCUCCUGUGGUUUUCCAGUGCCUCAGCACUGUCCUGCAGCCAAUGAGGAGUGCUAUCCUGAACCAUGAAAUUUGGUGGGCAUUCAGCCGACACUCCUUCGGUAUUAUGCCCAAUAUGCAGUGCAUAGGUCCCAGAACCAAUGCAGAGGACGUGAUUUUGCUAAUAAAGGAAACAAUCUUAGACGAUAGCACAUCUAUCCUAGGGCACAAGUACAACAUGUGUAAGAGAGUGCCCCAGGUUGUAUCGCAUCGCCAGCAUAGGUCAGAGUUUCUAAGUCCCAGUCUUGCCAUUUUAGUUGGAGUCCAAUAAAUCCUAUUUAUUAUUUUGUAAA